This 549-nucleotide ribosomal RNA is filed under the name uncultured bacterium. Its description in RNAcentral is "bacterial SSU rRNA". It matches the Rfam family "Archaeal small subunit ribosomal RNA", at positions 728 to 1276 of the family's 1478-position model. The record is from RNAcentral.
AAUAGAUACCCGGGUAGUCCUAGCCGUAAACGAUACUCGCUAGGUGUCGGCCACGGUGCGACCGUUGUCGGUGCCGUAGGGAAGCCGUGAAGCGAGCCACCUGGGAAGUACGGCCGCAAGGCUGAAACUUAAAGGAAUUGGCGGGGGAGCACCACAACGGGUGGAGCUUGCGGUUUAAUUGGAUUCAACGCCGGAAAUCUUACCGGGACCGACAGCAAUAUGAAGGCCAGGCUGAAGACUUUGCCGGAUUAGCUGAGAGGUGGUGCAUGGCCGUCGUCAGUUCGUACUGUGAAGCAUCCUGUUAAGUCAGGCAACGAGCGAGACCCACGCCCACAGUUGCCAGCGUACCCUCCGGAGUGACGGGUACACUGUGGGGACCGCCGCUGCUAAAGCGGAGGAAGGAAUGGGCAACGGUAGGUCAGUAUGCCCCGAAUAUCCCGGGCUACACGCGAGCUACAAUGGUUGGUACAAUGGGUAUCUACCCCGAAAGGGGAUGGAAAUCUCUUAAAGCCAAUCUUAGUUCGGAUUGAGGGCUGCAACCUCCCCUCA